GACUCCGUAGCUCAGCCGGAUAGAGCACCAGAUUCCUAAUCUGGGGGCCGCGCGUUCGAAUCGCGCCGGGGUCACCA
This 77-nucleotide transfer RNA is filed under the name Lysobacteraceae bacterium. RNAcentral describes it as "Xanthomonadaceae bacterium tRNA-Arg". It matches the Rfam family "tRNA". Rfam says of the family: Transfer RNA (tRNA) molecules are approximately 80 nucleotides in length. Their secondary structure includes four short double-helical elements and three loops (D, anti-codon, and T loops). The record is from RNAcentral. Lineage: Bacteria; Pseudomonadati; Pseudomonadota; Gammaproteobacteria; Lysobacterales; Lysobacteraceae. RNAcentral also lists the same sequence under 2 other names.